UGGGGAAUAUUGGACAAUGGGCGCAAGCCUGAUCCAGCCAUACCGCGUGGGUGAAGAAGGCCUUCGGGUUGUAAAGCCCUUUUGUUGGGAAAGAAAUCCUGUCGAUUAAUACUCGGUGGGGAUGACGGUACCCAAAGAAUAAGCACCGGCUAACUUCGUG
RNAcentral lists this ribosomal RNA (160 nucleotides) under uncultured bacterium. RNAcentral describes it as "partial 16S ribosomal RNA". It matches the Rfam family "Bacterial small subunit ribosomal RNA", at positions 355 to 507 of the family's 1533-position model. The record is from RNAcentral.